UACGAAGGGGGCUAGCGUUGUUCGGAAUUACUGGGCGUAAAGCGCGCGCAGGCGGCUAUCCAAGUCAGUGGUGAAAGCCCGGAGCUCAACUCCGGAACUGCCAUUGAAACUGUUUAGCUUGAGGACGAGAGAGGUGAGUGGAAUUCCCAGUGUAGAGGUGAAAAUUCGUAGAUAUUGGGAAGAACACCGGUGGCGAAGGCGGCUCACUGGCUCGUAUCUGACGCUCAGGCGCGACAGCGUGGGGGAUCAAACAGG
RNAcentral lists this ribosomal RNA (255 nucleotides) under uncultured bacterium. Its description in RNAcentral is "partial 16S ribosomal RNA". It matches the Rfam family "Bacterial small subunit ribosomal RNA", at positions 524 to 776 of the family's 1533-position model. The record is from RNAcentral.